This is a non-coding RNA of Acanthosepion pharaonis, 111 nucleotides long. The record is from the annotation of a GenBank genome assembly. NCBI's taxonomy places the organism in Eukaryota, Metazoa, Mollusca, Cephalopoda, Sepiida, Sepiidae.
GAUCACUUCAACGUUAAAAUACCAGUUCCCGUAUGAUUACCGAAGUUAAGUAACCUCGUGCCAGGUCAGAACCUAGGUGGGUAACCUCUUGGGCAAAGCGGGUGCUGUAAU